CGAAAGUCAGAGGUUUGAAGGCGAUCAGAUACCGCCCUAGUUCUGACCGUAAACAAUGCCACCUGACGAUCCACCAGGGUUACUACCAUGACUCGGCAGGCAGUCCCCGAGAAACCCAAACCUUCGGGUUCCGGGGGAAGUAUGGUUGCAAAGCUGAAACUUAAAGGAAUUGAUGGAAGGGCACCAUCAGGAGUGGAGUCUGCGGCUUAAUUUGACUCAACACGGAAACCUCACCCAGCCCGGACACCGUGAGGAUUGACAUAUUGAAAGCUCUUUAUCGAUUUGGUGGGUGGUGGUGCAUGGCCGUUCUUAGUGGGUGGAGCGAUUGGUCUGGUUAAUUCCGAUAAUGAAUGAGAUUCUAGCUGGUUAAGUAGCCUGAGCGGUUUUUAAUCUUUGCCGUCCAUCCUCGUCCUGACCUUCCGCACUUUUUUUUUUGCACCGCCCUUUCCAUACUGCCAUCAUCCCAUAUGCUUCUCCAUUUCAGUGGGGUCACAUCUCAGGCACUGGCAGUUUUCUGUAGGGGCGGUGCGGGAGGAGUAUGUGGGACGAUUUCAGGUGGAAGCAUAACCGAAGGCCGCCGGCUUUUAAGGAAGCUUCUUAGAGGGACGAGUGGUGUUCAGCCGCCCGAGAUUGA
This 634-nucleotide ribosomal RNA is filed under the name Opisthopatus cinctipes. RNAcentral describes it as "bacterial SSU rRNA". It matches the Rfam family "Eukaryotic small subunit ribosomal RNA", at positions 984 to 1449 of the family's 1831-position model. Lineage: Eukaryota; Metazoa; Onychophora; Udeonychophora; Euonychophora; Peripatopsidae. The record is from RNAcentral.